Molecule: ribosomal RNA, 727 nt
Filed under: uncultured bacterium
Lineage: Bacteria
Description: bacterial SSU rRNA
Rfam family: Bacterial small subunit ribosomal RNA
Source: RNAcentral
GAGUAACACGUAAGCAACCUGCCUAUCAGAGGGGAACAACAGUUAGAAAUGACUGCUAAUACCGCAUAUGCCUUAGAAUCACAUGGUUCAAAAGGGAAAGGAGCAAUCCGCUGAUAGAUGGGCUUGCGUCUGAUUAGCUAGUUGGUGGGGUAACGGCCUACCAAGGCGACGAUCAGUAGCCGAACUGAGAGGUUGAACGGCCACAUUGGGACUGAGAUACGGCCCAGACUCCUACGGGAGGCAGCAGUCGGGAAUAUUGCGCAAUGGAGGAAACUCUGACGCAGUGACGCCGCGUGCAGGAAGAAGGUUUUCGGAUUGUAAACUGCUUUAGACAGGGAAGAACAAAGACAGUACCUGUAGAAUAAGCUCCGGCUAACUACGUGCCAGCAGCCGCGGUAAUACGUAGGGAGCGAGCGUUAUCCGGAUUUAUUGGGUGUAAAGGGUGCGUAGACGGGAAGUCAAGUUAGUUGUGAAAUCCCUCGGCUUAACUGAGGAACUGCAACUAAAACUGAUUUUCUUGAGUACUGGAGAGGAAAGUGGAAUUCCUAGUGUAGCGGUGAAAUGCGUAGAUAUUAGGAGGAACACCGGUGGCGAAGGCGACUUUCUGGACAGAAACUGACGUUGAGGCACGAAAGUGUGGGGAGCAAACAGGAUUAGAUACCCUGGUAGUCCACACCGUAAACGAUGGAUACUAGGUGUAGGGGAUAUAAAAUUCUCUGUGCCGCCG